GUAAAGACAUGGAAAUGUAUUCCCACAUUAUUCUGGUGGGCGACCUAGAACAUGAAUGUAAAGACAGAAAUGUAUUCCCGCAUUAUACUGGUGAGCGACCUAGAACAUAAAGUAUUCCCGCAUUAUACUGGUGGGCGACCUAGAACAUAAAUUAUUCCCGCAUUUUACUGGUGGGCGACCUAGAACAUGAAUGUAUUCCCGUAUUAUACUGAUGGGCGACCUAGAACAGAAAGUAUUCCCGCAUUUUACUUGUGGGCGACCUAGAACAGAAAGUAUUCCCGCAUUUUACUGGUGGACGACCUAGAACAGAAAGUAUUCCCGCAUUUUACUGGUGGGCGACCUAGAACAGAAAGUAUUCCCGCAUUAUACUGGUGGGCGACCUAGAACAUGAAUGUAUUCCCGCAUUACACUGGUGGGCGACCUAGAACAGAAAGUAUUCCCGC
This 443-nucleotide long non-coding RNA is filed under the name Nicotiana tabacum (common tobacco). Its description in RNAcentral is "long non-coding RNA (NTAB_LNC003759)". The record is from RNAcentral. Lineage: Eukaryota; Viridiplantae; Streptophyta; Magnoliopsida; Solanales; Solanaceae.